GAGGGUAUAGCUCAGUGGUAGAGCACUUGCUUAGCCUGCAUGGGGCCCUGGGUUCAAUCCCCAGUAUUUCCA
RNAcentral lists this transfer RNA (72 nucleotides) under Camelus bactrianus (Bactrian camel). It matches the Rfam family "tRNA". Rfam says of the family: Transfer RNA (tRNA) molecules are approximately 80 nucleotides in length. Their secondary structure includes four short double-helical elements and three loops (D, anti-codon, and T loops). The record is from Rfam by way of RNAcentral. Lineage: Eukaryota; Metazoa; Chordata; Mammalia; Artiodactyla; Camelidae. RNAcentral also lists the same sequence under 2 other names.